Long non-coding RNA from Aptenodytes forsteri (emperor penguin), 622 nucleotides. RefSeq lists it as uncharacterized. The record is from RefSeq and is a predicted model, not a curated record. NCBI's taxonomy places the organism in Eukaryota, Metazoa, Chordata, Aves, Sphenisciformes, Spheniscidae. The transcript is spliced from 3 exons.
CCAGAGGCCGUGCUGAGGAUGUGGCUGUCUGUUCCUCCCCUGGGGAUGCCGUUGACUGCACCCGCCUCACGCUUGCAUGGGUUGUCUCUGCUCGGCCUCGCUCUCCUUGCGGCAUAGGGGUGAAAAGGAACAGAUGGAGCGCUUACUGGCUGUGGACAGAAGCUGCUGCGGCUGAAGCUGGAGAGGCCAGAGAAAGGUAAAGAAGAAGAAAUCAAAGGCCAUCCAGCCGGCAGCUGCCUCCCACUGCAGGCAAGAGAAAGCCUGCCUCUCUGGGUGAGGAAGGAUCCUUCUUCAUAGUCCGCAGCAGGUCAGACUGCCAACGUGCGCCGCAGGGUCUGUGGAGAACAGCUAAGUGACCGGAGUUACAGAAGAGGAGGGGAGGAGAGCAGGAGAAAGAAACAUCUGAACUGGCAAAUUCUCCCAGCAGCGCUGAGAGCGAGAGCUGCAUGCGCAAGGCUACAUGUCUAGGAAGCUUCGUCUUUGUAAGAGCUGUAAGACAGCCAUGUAUUCUCUUCGGUGGAGGACAGCCAAGCAACCGGAGUUUCAGAAGAGGAAGGGAAGAGCGCAGGAGAAAGAAGCGUCUGAACUAGCAAAUUCUUCUGGCAGCACUGAGAGCGAGAGC